RNAcentral lists this ribosomal RNA (253 nucleotides) under uncultured bacterium. Its description in RNAcentral is "partial 16S ribosomal RNA". It matches the Rfam family "Bacterial small subunit ribosomal RNA", at positions 524 to 776 of the family's 1533-position model. The record is from RNAcentral.
UACAGAGGUCUCAAGCGUUGUUCGGAUUCAUUGGGCGUAAAGGGUGCGUAGGUGGCGCCGUAAGUGGGGUGUGAAAUUUCGGAGCUUAACUCCGAAACUGCAUUCCAUACUGCGGUGCUUGAGGACUGGAGAGGAGACUGGAAUUUACGGUGUAGCAGUGAAAUGCGUAGAGAUCGUAAGGAAGACCAGUGGCGAAGGCGGGUCUCUGGACAGUUCCUGACGCUGAGGCACGAAAGCUAGGGGAGCAAACAGG